GGGGGGGGGGGGGGGGGGGGUGGGGAGGGGCAAGGCGGGCGGAGGGGCCCAAGCGUGCUUGGGUACUCGAGUGGCGAACGGGUGAGUGACACGUGGGGGAGCUGCCCUGCACUUCGGGAUGAGCCUGGGAAACUGGGUCUAAUACCGGAUAGGACGAUGGUUUGGAUGCCAUUGUGGAAAGUUGUUUCGGUGUGGGAUGAGCUCGCGGCCUAUCAGCUGGUUGGUGGGGUAAUGGCCUACCAAGGCGUCGACGGGUAGCCGGCCUGAGAGGGUGUACGGCCACAUUGGGACUGAGAUACGGCCCAGACUCCGACGGGAGGCAGCAGUGGGGAAUAUUGCACAAUGGGCGCAAGCCUGAUGCAGCGACGCCGCGUGGGGGAUGACGGCCUUCGGGUUGUAAACUCCUUUCGCUAGGGACGAAGCGUUUUUGUGACGGUACCUGGAGAAGAAGCACCGGCUAACUACGUG
Molecule: ribosomal RNA, 468 nt
Filed under: uncultured bacterium
Lineage: Bacteria
Description: partial 16S ribosomal RNA
Rfam family: Bacterial small subunit ribosomal RNA
Source: RNAcentral